GUUUUUUAAUUGCAAUACUGAUGUAUUUUGCACUUUUAACACCGAUUUCUCGAGCGAUACGGAUUGGACGUCCGCGGCGACUUCGUCGGCGGAAAGAGCGGAAACAAUUAUAUCGGAAUAUGACAAAGAUAUAUUUCCGAUCGCCCUUUUGGAAUCGUGCAGGAGGGAAAAAAGGAACCGCUCUUUGCGAGAAGAGCAUUCAUUCACCGAAACCAGCCAGGUAUCUCGACGCAGAAAGUGAAACCUUGACUCAUGCUGAGUCGAUAAUACCUGCGCAACGUCGCAGCAACGACAUACCUGUCAUUCAUUCAUUCAUUCAUUAAAAUGUAUCUACAAUAUACGUGAAGAGCGUCCGAGCGCCAUUCCUCUCCCUCAAGGCAUGUUUCAACGAUGUAUUUUAGCAUAACGUGCCGAUCGGAAAUAUUUAAUUAAUUAAGUUAGCAUAAUCGGUUUUAUUUACAUUUGAAUAGCAAAUCAUUUAGAUGUAAAUGUAAUCAUUGAAUGUAAAUACAAUCUAAUAAAGACUCCUCGACUUUCAAGACCGAUGCACACGAAUCUCGUUGACGCGUCCAAUCGUACGUUGCGAUUAUAUUUAAUAUUUAACUUUCGCUGCGGCACGCUUCGAUAAAAAAAGUGCCGUGUGCGGCACGAUAUUCGAUUGUGUUCGAUUGUGCGAUGAUGAGGCAGAUGAUUCAAAUUAGGAUCGCGAGCGUAAUAGUAGCACCGCGUGCAAGAGACGUACUUAUGGGACAUUUAACUCGCAUGUUCACACGGCUGCAUACACAUGUAACAAAGGAUCUUCGUUGACCUUGGAAAAUAAUAAGAAAGCAAAUCGACAAAUAAACGUCUUCGCAAUUUUCGAGUCACCAAA
Molecule: long non-coding RNA, 871 nt
Organism: Ooceraea biroi (clonal raider ant)
Lineage: Eukaryota; Metazoa; Arthropoda; Insecta; Hymenoptera; Formicidae
Source: RefSeq, a predicted model, not a curated record